This 496-nucleotide ribosomal RNA is filed under the name uncultured bacterium. Its description in RNAcentral is "partial 16S ribosomal RNA". It matches the Rfam family "Bacterial small subunit ribosomal RNA", at positions 29 to 507 of the family's 1533-position model. The record is from RNAcentral.
AUGAACGCUGGCGGCGUGCCUAAUACAUGCAAGUCGAGCGAACGGACGAGAAGCUUGCUUCUCUGAUGUUAGCGGCGGACGGGUGAGUAACACGUGGAUAACCUACCUAUAAGACUGGGAUAGCUUCGGGAAACCGGAGCUAAUACCGGAUAAUAUUUUGAACCGCAUGGUUCAAAAGUGAAAGACGGUCUUGCUGUCACUUAUAGAUGGAUCCGCGCUGCAUUAGCUAGUUGGUAAGGUAACGGCUUACCAAGGCAACGAUGCAUAGCCGACCUGAGAGGGUGAUCGGCCACACUGGAACUGAGACACGGUCCAGACUCCUACGGGAGGCAGCAGUAGGGAAUCUUCCGCAAUGGGCGAAAGCCUGACGGAGCAACGCCGCGUGAGUGAUGAAGGUCUUCGGAUCGUAAAACUCUGUUAUUAGGGAAGAACAUAUGUGUAAGUAACUGUGCACAUCUUGACGGUACCUAAUCAGAAAGCCACGGCUAACUACGUG